This 497-nucleotide ribosomal RNA is filed under the name uncultured bacterium. Its description in RNAcentral is "partial 16S ribosomal RNA". It matches the Rfam family "Bacterial small subunit ribosomal RNA", at positions 28 to 507 of the family's 1533-position model. The record is from RNAcentral.
GAUGAACGCUGGCGGCGUGCCUAAUACAUGCCAGUCGAGCGAACAGAUGAGGAGCUUGCUCCUCUGACGUUAGCGGCGGACGGGUGAGUAACACGUGGAUAACCUACCUAUAAGACUGGGAUAACUUCGGGAAACCGGAGCUAAUACCGGAUAAUAUAUUGAACCGCAUGGUUCAAUAGUGAAAGACGGUUUUGCUGUCACUUAUAGAUGGAUCCGCGCCGCAUUAGCUAGUUGGUAAGGUAACGGCUUACCAAGGCAACGAUGCGUAGCCGACCUGAGAGGGUGAUCGGCCACACUGGAACUGAGACACGGUCCAGACUCCUACGGGAGGCAGCAGUAGGGAAUCUUCCGCAAUGGGCGAAAGCCUGACGGAGUAACGCCGCGUGAGUGAUGAAGGUCUUCGGAUCGUAAAACUCUGUUAUUAGGGAAGAACAAAUGUGUAAGUAACUAUGCACGUCUUGACGGUACCUAAUCAGAAAGCCACGGCUAACUACGUG